Non-coding RNA from Oryctolagus cuniculus (rabbit), 1740 nucleotides. NCBI's taxonomy places the organism in Eukaryota, Metazoa, Chordata, Mammalia, Lagomorpha, Leporidae. The record is from RefSeq and is a predicted model, not a curated record.
CUUCCACUCCUGUAAAAUAAGUUAUAGAGAUCUUAUGUACAACGAUGUGACUAAAGGUAAUUGUUUAUGCUAUAUCAUUUAAAUUUAUCAAGACGGAUAGAUCAUAAGUUCUCACCACAUGCACAGUCAACAAAAAAAAAGCUAUGUGAAGUGGCAGAUAUACCAAUUAGCAUGGUUGUGCUGAAUAUUUCACAGGAAUGUAUUAUAUGUAUAUAGAUACAUUAAAUCUCUUUUAACUCUAAGCUAUUCUUCAGAAAAGUUAGAUACAGAAGUCCUAUCCGUCAGUGCCAGCCUUGACCUAGUGUCACGGUGGCUUCCUGUUCCCUUUGGUUUCUGUAUCACAGGCAGGCUGGAGUUGGGAAUGCAUUGAUGGUAAGGGUGAAUUCUGGGAGCCGUUGUUGUUAGAAUGGCUGUUGACCAACUGCUAAGGAAACACCUACUAACUGAUAGAUACAGGCUAUCAGUUUUGUCAUUAAAAAGCUUAAACAAGAGUUGUGAAUCGAGGAUUCUUGCCUUCCAAAUUGUUUCUUCAGCUAUGUCAGUCCUCAUGCUGGCAACAAAUUUACCUAAAGUACAGACCAAGCUAUUUGUACAUAGAAGUUAUGCCUCUCUAUUCACCUAUCCCCAGUGCCUAGGACAGUAAACAGAAUGUGGUAGGUACUUAAUAAGCAUUUAUGUACUAAAUCAGUGUUGCUACUCUCUGCAGGCAAUUUCAAUUACAAGCAUUACAAAGUGAGGCUCCAAAGAUUUCCUACGAUCUAUGUGAAUUCCUGGACAUGGUGGCUUCUUCAUGAGACUGUGGAAUUGAAUGCUAAACAUGCUGGACUUGCUGAGUGAGUACCUAGACCCAGCUCAGACUGGCCCUGCUCUGUCAGCAAUGGGCAGUGUGGACUCUCUCUCCCAGUGAAGACCACCAUGGGCUGAGCAGGCAGAUACAGCAGAGCCCAAACUGCAAGUCACAUCACCUGGGCAGGAGCAGAGGAGGAAGCAUUCAGCCAUAAAUAACUCCUGGAACCAAGGAAACCAGAACCUGAUUGUCAUGACUCCUGGAGAAGCGAGGGGUCCACUGACCAGAAAGAGCUGGUGGUACAGCCUCCCUGGUGAGAACAUGCCUCUCCAUGGCUUCCACGUUUUGGCUGGUCCUCUCCUCCGCAUAAAACCUGCCCAGACCUCAGAUGGGGGAGAGAGUGAAGCCUUGCCUCGUGUCUCCUUGCAAGACAGCUUUCUUUUCUCAAAAUCUGGUGAUAUGGUAUUGAUGGCCAUGUGUACUGGGAAGCAGCUGGCACUUGCUAAAUAAAACCACUAUCCUGAAGAUGUGUUUCUCACCUGUGGCUCAUCCAGGUCCCUUUGGUAUUCUCCCUUUUCUCUCUCAAGCCACUGCCUUAUUAUUUUUUGAACUAUUGGUUUGGGGUACACUUACAGUAUUUUAGAAUUGUCGGGGACCUUACAGGUCACCUAGUCUGUCUCCUCCUCAGCACCAAGUCUCAGCUGUUGAGAAGAGAAAGCUGGAAAACUGAAAGCUACUUAGCAAAGGUUUUAGGGAAGGAUAUUGAAAUCUGUGUGUGACAGGAAGCUUAGGAAUUCUAGUAAACUGUAAGCGUUCGCUAAACUCUGUUUUUCUACAACUGACAUUGUUUUCCAAAUGACUGCUUAGAAUUGGUUUGUAUGAAGAACAUAAUUUGUGGCUCUUAUGGAUUUUAAUGGCAAGUACUUUUUAUUUGAUUAGAAACACUCUAUUAA